ACACCGGUCGCUCAGCCUGGUCGAGCAGCGCCAUCACCUGGCGUCAGUCGGAGGUUCGAGUCCUCCCCGGUGGA
RNAcentral lists this transfer RNA (74 nucleotides) under Phycisphaerales bacterium. Its description in RNAcentral is "tRNA-Val". Lineage: Bacteria; Pseudomonadati; Planctomycetota; Phycisphaerae; Phycisphaerales. The record is from RNAcentral.